UACGUAGGGUGCAAGCGUUGUCCGGAAUUAUUGGGCGUAAAGAGCUCGUAGGCGGUCUGUCGCGUCGGCUGUGAAAUCCUGAGGCUCAACCUCGGGUCUGCAGUCGAUACGGGCAAACUAGAGUAUUGCAGGGGAGACUGGAAUUCCUGGUGUAGCGGUGAAAUGCGCAGAUAUCAGGAGGAACACCGGUGGCGAAGGCGGGUCUCUGGGCAAUAACUGACGCUGAGGAGCGAAAGCGUGGGGAGCGAACAGG
This 253-nucleotide ribosomal RNA is filed under the name uncultured bacterium. RNAcentral describes it as "partial 16S ribosomal RNA". It matches the Rfam family "Bacterial small subunit ribosomal RNA", at positions 524 to 776 of the family's 1533-position model. The record is from RNAcentral.